UGAUGACGAGACGCUAAGGCGUUGAAGCAGUGUAUGUCAGACUUCCAAGAAAAGCUCGCAAUGUCACAAAUAAAAAGUGCCUGUACCAUAACCGACACAGGUGGGUAGGUAGAGUAUACUAAGGGGCGCGAGAUAACUCUCUCUAAGGAACUCGGCAAAAUGACUCCGUAACUUCGGGAGAAGGAGUGCCUUAUUUAUAAGGUUGCAAUAACAAGAUCCAAGCAACUGUUUAUCAAAAACACAGGUCUCCGCUAAGUCGUAAGACGAUGUAUGGGGGCUGACGCCUGCCCAGUGCCAGAAGGUUAAAGAAGUUGGUUAGUGUAUGCGAAGCUGAUGACUGAAGCCCUGGUGAACGGCGGCCGUAACAAUAACGGUCCUAAGGUAGCGAAAUUCCUUGUCGGGUAAGUUCCGACCCGCACGAAAGGCGUAAUGAUUUGGAUACUGUCUCGGAGAGAGGCUCGGUGAAAUAGACUUGUCUGUGAAGAUGCGGACUACCUGCACCAGGACAGAAAGACCCUAUGAAGCUUUACUGUAACUUGAAAUUGGAAUUGGACUUUGCUUGCGCAGUAUAGGUGGGAAGCGUUGAAAAUAUUCUUGCGGGAGUAUUGGAGCUAUCAGUGAGAUACCACUCUUGUAAUGUUAGAUUUCUAACUUUGAACCAUAAUCUGGUCAAAGAACAGUUUCAGGUGGGCAGUUUGACUGGGGCGGUCGCCUCCCAAAUGGUAACGGAGGCGUACAAAGGUUUCCUCUGAACGGAUAGAAAUCGUAUCUAGAGUGUAAAGGCAUAAGGAAGCUUGACUGUGAGACCUACAAGUCGAGCAGGGACGAAAGUCGGUCUUAGUGAUCUGACGGUACUGAGUGGAAAGGCCGUCACUCAACGGAUAAAAGUUACUCUAAGGAUAACAGGCUGAUCUCCCCCAAGAGUUCACAUCGACGGGGAGGUUUGGCACCUCGAUGUCGGCUCAUCGCAUCCUGGGGCGGUAGUACGUCCCAAGGGUUGGGCUGUUCGCCCAUGAAAGCGGUACGCGAGCUGGGUCCAGAACGUCGUGAGACAGUUCGGUCCAUAUCCGGUGCAGGCGCUAGAAUAUUGAGAGGAGCCUUCUUUGGUACGAGAGGACCGAGAAGGACACACCGCUGGUGUACCAGUUAUCGUGCCAACGGUAAACGCUGGGUAGCUAUGUGUGGAGUGGAUAACCGCUGAAAGCAUCUAAGUGGGAAGCCCACCUCGAGAUGAGUAUUCC
This 1241-nucleotide ribosomal RNA is filed under the name metagenome. RNAcentral describes it as "bacterial LSU rRNA". It matches the Rfam family "Bacterial large subunit ribosomal RNA", at positions 1564 to 2814 of the family's 2925-position model. The record is from RNAcentral.